GCGCGUGUGGUGAAAUUGGCAAACACGCUAGACUUAGGAUCUAGUGCCGCAAGGCUUGGGGGUUCGAGUCCCUUCACGCGCACCA
This 85-nucleotide transfer RNA is filed under the name Erysipelothrix sp. Its description in RNAcentral is "tRNA-Leu". It matches the Rfam family "tRNA". From Rfam's summary of the family: Transfer RNA (tRNA) molecules are approximately 80 nucleotides in length. Their secondary structure includes four short double-helical elements and three loops (D, anti-codon, and T loops). Lineage: Bacteria; Bacillati; Bacillota; Erysipelotrichia; Erysipelotrichales; Erysipelotrichaceae. The record is from RNAcentral.